Dermacentor andersoni is the source of this 3715-nucleotide long non-coding RNA. RefSeq lists it as uncharacterized. Lineage: Eukaryota; Metazoa; Arthropoda; Arachnida; Ixodida; Ixodidae. The record is from RefSeq and is a predicted model, not a curated record.
CGAUACACCAGACUCAUGACAGACCUAUGACGUCUGAAAAUGACCAAUAUUCUAUUCAUUAGCAGGAGUAUUCUAACAUUCAUGAAAAACAAGGAUGAACUGUGGUUUCUUUGUUUUCUUGCUUUAAUCUAAAAAUUGAAGUUAGUUUAGCAGUUGACUGUUGCAGUCAUUUGGAUGUUUUGCAUGCAUUUCACUAGGAAGACUAAGAGCUAAGACUUUUUUAUUGCCAUGGCCUUGACUGUCUUGAUGUUGUUUUGCACCAUGCCCUUGUGUUGACUUUUGCAUACGAUAUUUUUCAGGCACCCGCUUUACAUAACGCAAGAAGGCAGCUGCAAGGACACGAGGAUGUGAAAGAGCCAGUGCAGCGCGACUUCACGUAGUGCAGAGGAGCCAAUGCCAAAAAAUCUAAAUACAUUGGCAUGUUAUUUGGACAAGAAAACUAGUAUGUGGGUAUAUUGGGUGUACCAUUUGACCAAAUGUCAACAAAAUCAAGAUACAGUAUGUUACACGAAGAUGAAAAUUCUCACGUGCUCCAGGCAGUCAUCUUAACAUGGUAUAUUUAUGUAAUGUCUCUGAUUGGAAAGUCAAAUCAAGUAUGCUCUCUGGAGACAAACACAUAGCAGCAAGUGUCAUUGAAAAGUUAAAAAUGUGUUUUAAGAAAGCUGAUUAGUUCUGAGAAGUGACUGCUUUUUGUCUUGCCUCUCAACAGAUAUAUCCAUGUGAUAAAAAAAUAGUGGUACAAUGAAAUUGCAUAUUUGCUUAGCGACAUGAUACAUACUUGCAAUGAGCACGGUGCCUUUGUUUACUAUAAAAAGCAACAGCCCAUGCUUGGUUAGGUUAGGCCCACUACAACAUGCAGGCAUGGGUGAUUGGCGCUUUUUUUAUUUCUGUGUCGUGAGGUUUAUUGACGUGCAUAUAGGUGCAGUGGCACGCAGUAUGGCUAGUACAAAAAAAAGGGGGGGGGGGCAGAUAUAUGUAGCUCACUGUACACGACACAGGGCAAAGGAAAUCCGUGUUCAGCAACUAUGUUAAAUGCCAUGUACGUAAAUUUUACAACGCUACUCGUUCGAAGCGCGCACAGGUGCAUAUUGAAGAAAAGUUUCCAGGGUAGAUAAUUUAGUUCGUAAUUUACACUAAUUUUGCUCUAACCACGAGACAUAAUAAUUUGAAUAUACUGCACGGAAAAACCUAGAGCGAAUUAAAUUGUGUGUCAGCUUCGUGUGUAUACAUAUAGUCUUUCCUAUGCAUUAGGUAUUUUGCGUAAUGCAAUAACAGUUGACAGCCUAUCUUAUGAUGUGUACUCUGUUUACAUUACAGUUGUUUAUUAGUUUACUCGUUUGUUUUGCGACUGGUGAAAUGCCGGCAUAUAUAUAUUUUCAACAUUUGACAUAACCCUGUAUGUUUUGCAGGGACAACCCAGGACGUGCAUUUCUCAGCACCCAGUCAACUGCCAAAAGUGACUCAAACACAGGCCACCAGUGGAACUCGGCUGUACCACUGCAGUGCUGCAGAAAUUGCCUUCACCAGCGGCUUUGCAACAGCUGUUUCGCAGCAUGUCGGAGACAAUGCCUACGAAAUUAUUGGCCCUGAUCAUGAGAGCCCUCAAGGGGCAAACAUCUCUGUUGCAGAAGUGAACCCGAUACCACUUGGAAGUUACCAUGACAGAUGACACGGCAGCAAUAGAUACAGAGACUGCCAUGUCUACUGCAGCUGCAACAGUGUACGAGGCAAGCAGCAGCGCGUCAGCAUCAGCAGCAGUGUCAGAAGGAACCACACCAGGCCUGGUAGAGCAACAUGUGUGCUAUCACUGACUUUUUUUGUAGUGGAUACAACUCAUUUGCUCAACAUACAAAAGCUUUUCACCACGACUGUGAGCCAGUGUUAUUGUGCAGCAAGUGCAAGACUAAGUUAGGUGUUAUAACACAGUACAAGCAUCACUUUAAUAUAUGCAAAUGCAAACAUAUUACAGUUGUUGCCUCCCCAGCCAGCCCACAUAGUGACAACAAUGUGGACCACAUGGUGGGACACACCUCUCCCCCAUUACAAGAUAGUAGAGACUGUCAGUGUUGUUGCUAGAUUGACUGGUCUUUGUAGGCAACUAGAAGGACAACACAGGUGUCAUAAGAUUGUUGUUGAUGUUGUUGUUGAAGAGGUAAAAAAGAAGUUUGAUGCAGCUGAAGUGCCAACUGAUAUUGAGCAAAUCAAAAGCAACCACCUGAGAAAACAAGACUAUCGAAAUUUCGGUAUUUAUGUGCCGCCAACUCUGGUAAGAAUGGCAUAGGACAGAAGUGUGAUGAAAAUCACACAGACACUGCUGUUGCAUCACUGGCCACAGUGAGCAGCGACUUGUAGGGCAAGAGAGUCAACUGAAACUAACAUUAUGAUAUAGUGUCAUGCUCCCAUGUGACCACUUUUCAAGUUAUUUUGCAAGAUACAGCUCAACCUCCAGAAACGAGACUGCAACUUGUCUGUAAAAAAGCUUUCACAAAAAAUUAUUCAUAACACUAUUAACAUAGCAGUAUCUUUUUUUUUUGUGUCGGUUCGAGGUUCCCGGCUGUCCAUUAAUGCAAAAAUUGAGGAAAAAAAAGAACAUGUGUCGUACUUACACCUUUUUAACAAGUACGAGGGGGACAGAACUUUUCUAGUCAUGCAUCUUCAUCAUACUAUCAAGUUUUUAAAUGCCUUUUAUAAUUAUUAUUACCAGUUAUAUCUGAGUGCAUUGUAUGCAUGUAGCAGGUGUAAAAUCAGGUCAGUUGGAUCAGAUGCCUUAUCUGCAAGCGAGCCCUAUAUUCAAGAAAUUUGAAUUAAAAUAGUUACGUUAGAGACGCAGCCUUUCAGCACUUUAUUGCCUGUGGUUUAAGCAUUGCUCAAUACUUUUGUGGGUGGCAAUUUCAACCGGCACAGCACUGCGCUUUGCCACAGUCACAUUUGUCUUCAAAGCGGUGUUUACCAUUUGUGUUGAUCUGUUUGUGUAUGCAUAGAGCAAGUUUUUAAUUUAUAUUUUUCUGCAUUCUUGUGCUUGCACUAAGCUUGUAUAAGGCAGUUACAAAAUGUGCGUCACUAUAACGAACUGUUCUGUUGAGCUUACACUUGCAAAUAAUCGUGUUCAGAUGGCCGCACUUCUAUGCGGGUGCACUGCUAGCUUUGUGUAUGUUCUCAUGUUUGUAUAAAGCUUAUAUAAGCUAGUUAGAAAAUGUAUGUCACUAAGCAUUGUGAUAUUCUUUAAAGAACUGCUUGGUUGGUUUUACACUUGUGAAUUCGUAUUGAGGCGGUGGUAUUCCCAUGUAUGCCCACUGCUAGCUUUCUGUGUCCUCACGUGUUUGUAUUAAGUUUCUACAAGGGAGUUACAGCAUGUACGUCACUAAGCGCUGUGAUAUUUUUUAAAGAACUGCUUUGUUGGUUUUACACCUGUGAGUAAUAGUACUCGGGUGGCACUAGUCAUGUGUAGGUACACAGGGACCAUUUGUAUACAUUAUGCUCAUGUAAAGCAGUUACAAAGUGUAUGUCACUAAUUACUGUGAUAUUUGUUGAAUUGCUGUGAUGGUUUUACACAUGUGAAUAAUAGUGGUCAGGACACAGUACUUGCGGUGUAUAGUUGAAUUUAUACACUGCCAAGACAUGGGCUGUAUACGUACCAAAAGAAAUGUAUGUCAUUAUAUUGUUGUGAUUAUUACUGUUUGGAUUUUAUUAAACUGUAAUAAAAUUGUUUCUUGUA